Molecule: long non-coding RNA, 2168 nt
Organism: Callithrix jacchus (white-tufted-ear marmoset)
Lineage: Eukaryota; Metazoa; Chordata; Mammalia; Primates; Cebidae
Source: RefSeq, a predicted model, not a curated record
CUAUUCUUAUGCUUUUUUCCUUUUAUUGGUUUAACUGUUUAAACAAACUUAUUUUUAUUGUUUAUUUAUUUCUGAGACAGGUCUCGCUCUGUCACCCAGGUUGGAGGGCAGUGCUACAAUAAUGGCUCCCUACGGCCUCAAACUCCUGAGUUCAAGCGAUCCUCCCUCCUCAGCCUCCUGAGUAGCUGAGACCACUGGUACGCGCCACUGCAUCAAGCUGACUUUUUGAUUUUUUUUAAGAGAUGGGGCCUCACCAUGUUGCCCAGGCUGGUCUCAAACUCCUGGACUCAAGUGAUCCUCCCUCCUCUGCCUCCCAAAGUGCUGGGAUCACAGGUCUGAGCCACUGCACCAGGCAAGCUUACUUUUUAUACUUGGUGAGACCCUUCUUGUGUCUAAAGCUCCUAGGAUUCACUCUUGCUCCUGCUGGAUGGCUUUUCACCGUGUCUUUUAGUUUUGGACUGGACUGUGGAAUCAGAUCCAGCAGUGCUGUCUCUGGGGACUCCUAUUAGGCCUUGGCUGAGAAUGGGUCCCUUCAGAAUGGUUUUCAUUUUCUUCCAUAAGACAUUCAUAGGUAUCACUGGCCGGGGACUAAUUUUUACGGAAUUUCUCAGCUUAGAGGAUCCUGGGUCAUAUGGGUGGUAUACAUUUAAAUCUCAAACAUUGUGAGAGCAGGGUUGUAGUUACUAACUCUCAAGAAUCUUUCUUUUUCUACUUGGAGUUAGGCCAAGGUGGCUAAGUUUCCUUGGCUUUUCCCUAGGUUGGCGGGCUGAUUAUUUUCUAGUCUACCCUUUAUGUGAGUCAUAACCUUCUGAGGAUUCUAGCUCUGCAGAGGACCAUGGUUCCACUCUGUUUCUUGUGCAGGCCCAAUUGCAGGUCCUUCCUAUCCAAGCACUAAAUCCCAAGCACCUAAGUCACCAGGAAUUACUGCCUUUCUCAGCAUGGCACUUCUUUCUCUCCUUAUAUCCAGUCAGUUUUAAUCUUUUACUUCCCUGAGAUCACAGGUAUCAUGCAAAAUGAUACUUUCUUUAUCAAACAUUUCUUUUUUUUUUUUGAGACAGAGUUUUGCUCGUUACCCAGGGUGGAGUGCAAUGGCGCGAUCUAGGCUCACCGCAACCUCCGCCUCCUGGGUUCAGGCAAUUCUCCUGCCUCAGCCUCCUGAGUAGCUGGGAUUACAGGCACGUGCCACCAUGCCCGGCUAAUUUUUUGUAUUUUUAGUAGAGACGGGGUUUCACCAUGUUGACCAGGAUGGUCUUGAUCUCUUGACCUCGUGAUCCACCCGCCUCGGCCUCCCAAAGUGCUGGGAUCUUUAUCAAAUAUUUCUAACUGGUAAGAGUCAAGACUUUUUAGGGUUUGCCUCAGCAAUGUUGCCAGCAAUCUAUGGGUUUUCUCUACCUUUCCUAGCCCCAGACAACCAGCCAGCAUGAUCUCUUAGACUCUUUGCUCUUACGGACGCCAUCAUUUCUCAAAUGUGCUCACCCUUGAGGGAUUAGAAUCUCAGAGCAAAUGGCUAAGGUACAGGCUGGACAUUCGCAGAUUAGAGUUCCCACUCUGGACAUGCCAUCACUGCCAGGUUCUAGAGGAAAGAACAUGUUGCUUGGAGCUUCUUUGCCAGCAAAGGGCAGUGCCCAGAUGGCCUGAGGAGCUCCAUGGUAUAAGCAGUUAAAUGUGAUAGAGCAUGGACAUGAGGACUAAAGAGACCUGGGUUCACAUCCCAGCCUUUCCUCACACUAUCUGUGUGCCUUGUAAGCUGAUAUUAAGUCUGCUUUGGCAUUUAUGGAAUAGCAAUAAUAACGUUACUUUGUUGUUGUUUUUGUUUGUUUUGAGAUGGAGUCUUGCUCUGUCUCCCAGGCUGGAGUGCAGUGGCAUGAUCUCGGCUCACUGCAACCUCUGCCUCCUGGGUUCAAGCAAUUCUCCUGCCUCAGACUCCCAAGUUGCUGGGAUUACAGGCUUGCUCUGGUGCCUGGCAGACGAACUAGCUCAGCCUUGCCGCACUUUCCACCAGUUAUGCACAAGGGUCUCCGGAGGAAAAAGCCUGAGAGAGCUGGAGGUGGAGACUGUUGUGCACUGUGCUAGGGGCUGGCUGGCACCAACCAACAGUUCCAGAUGGUGACCAGGAGAGGGCGCCAGGGAAAGGCGUGUAAUAAACGGGGAAUAAAGGAAUUUCAGAA